UACGAAGGGGGCUAGCGUUGUUCGGAAUACUGGGCGUAAGCGUGCGCAGGCGGUUCUCCAAGUCAGUGGUGAAAGCCCGGAGCUCAACUCCGGAACUGCCAUUGAAACUGUAGAGCUAGAGUACGAGAGAGGUGAGUGGAAUUCCCAGUGUAGAGGUGAAAUUCGUAGAUAUUGGGAAGAACACCGGUGGCGAAGGCGGUCUGCUGGGGGUGA
Molecule: ribosomal RNA, 213 nt
Filed under: uncultured bacterium
Lineage: Bacteria
Description: partial 16S ribosomal RNA
Rfam family: Bacterial small subunit ribosomal RNA
Source: RNAcentral